Molecule: ribosomal RNA, 492 nt
Filed under: uncultured bacterium
Lineage: Bacteria
Description: partial 16S ribosomal RNA
Rfam family: Bacterial small subunit ribosomal RNA
Source: RNAcentral
AGUGAACGCUGGCGGUAGGCCUAACACAUGCAAGUCGAACGGCAGCACAGUAAGAGCUUGCUCUUACGGGUGGCGAGUGGCGGACGGGUGAGGAAUACAUCGGAAUCUACUUUUUCGUGGGGGAUAACGUAGGGAAACUCACGCUAAUACCGCAUACGACCUACGGGUGAAAGCAGGGGAUCUUCGGACCUUGCGCGAUUGAAUGAGCCGAUGUCGGAUUAGCUAGUUGGCGGGGUAAAGGCCCACCAAGGCGACGAUCCGUAGCUGGUCUGAGAGGAUGAUCAGCCACACUGGAACUGUGACACGGUCCAGACUCCUACGGGAGGCGGCAGUGGGGAAUAUUGGACAAUGGGCGCAAGCCUGAUCCAGCCAUACCGCGUGGGUGAAGAAGGCCUUCGGGUUGUAAAGCCCUUUUGUUGGGAAAGAAAAGCAGCAGGUUAAUACCCCGCUGUUCUGACGGUACCCAAAGAAUAAGCACCGGCUAACUUCGUG